Molecule: non-coding RNA, 263 nt
Organism: Pelobates cultripes (western spadefoot toad)
Lineage: Eukaryota; Metazoa; Chordata; Amphibia; Anura; Pelobatidae
Source: the annotation of a GenBank genome assembly
GGAACAUUUUUUUCAGAAAACCUGACAUUUAUAAAAGAAACACUUCACCUAUGCAAAUAAGAAAUUCUCCAAUUAAUCACACACGAAAUUCACCUAUUAAAACUAGAAGACACUCUAAUAACUGUACACAAAGUCCACUUAUCACGAGACGAAAAACAUUUACUUCAAAUAACAUUUCACAAACUCAAAAUUCUUUCCAACAAAGAGGUAGGAGAGAACUGAUUUCCCCAAAUCGGUGUGAUUCCCCCCCUAGGAGAUCGUAU